AUGAUAGUUAUGGAGCAAAAUUGCAAAGUUUGAAAGUCGCGAAUCAAUCUUGAUAGUGCUACUAUAGUCGUGGGAUCAAAAGUGCAAAAA
Ipomoea nil (Japanese morning glory) is the source of this 90-nucleotide long non-coding RNA. RefSeq lists it as uncharacterized. The transcript is spliced from 3 exons. NCBI's taxonomy places the organism in Eukaryota, Viridiplantae, Streptophyta, Magnoliopsida, Solanales, Convolvulaceae. The record is from RefSeq and is a predicted model, not a curated record.